RNAcentral lists this microRNA (22 nucleotides) under Platynereis dumerilii (Dumeril's clam worm). Its description in RNAcentral is "Pdu-Mir-1990-P2_3p* (star (passenger))". The record is from RNAcentral. Lineage: Eukaryota; Metazoa; Annelida; Polychaeta; Phyllodocida; Nereididae. RNAcentral also lists the same sequence under 1 other name.
CGGGACUACGUUAACUUCCAGC